RNAcentral lists this transfer RNA (75 nucleotides) under Chloroflexota bacterium. Its description in RNAcentral is "Chloroflexi bacterium tRNA-Arg". It matches the Rfam family "tRNA". Rfam says of the family: Transfer RNA (tRNA) molecules are approximately 80 nucleotides in length. Lineage: Bacteria; Bacillati; Chloroflexota. The record is from RNAcentral.
GCCCUCGUAGCUCAGCGGAUAGAGCACCGGCCUCCGAAGCCGGAGGCGCUGGUUCGAUUCCAGCCGGGGGCACCA